This 877-nucleotide non-coding RNA is filed under the name Amusiotheres obtusidentatus. Lineage: Eukaryota; Metazoa; Arthropoda; Malacostraca; Decapoda; Pinnotheridae. The record is from RNAcentral.
UUUUAUUCUUUUUUUAAUAACUAUAUAUUAUUUUGUUAAUAUUAACAAAUUUUUUCGUUUAUUAAAAUAAAUUAAAGAAUUUGAUUUUGGUUUAUCAUUUCUAUAUUAUUAUAAAAAUUGCAUGAAGAUUUUAGUGUGGUUAAAAACAUCAUUAAAAAUGAUGUCUAAUUUAUAAAAAUAUUAAUUAUAAUUAUUUUAUUCUCAGCAUAGAUUAUUGAUUUAUUGAUAUACAAAAGUGUGAAUUAGUUAUAAUAUUAAAUUCUGAUUAAUGUUUGUGCCAGCUUUCGCGGUUAUACUUCAAGAAUAAGUAGAAAAAUUGAGGAUUAGUUAAAUGUAAUUUUAUAUUAUAUAUAUAUAUUAAAAAGUAAAAUUAAUUUGAUUUUUUAUAUAAAAAUAAAAAUUGAAAUUGAAGCUAAUAAUUCUUGGGUUUAAACUAGGAUUAGAUACCCUAUUAUUCCAUGAUAAAAUUUAUAUCCUUAGUUAGUAAUAGUUAUUUACUUAAAAUCUAAAAAAUUUGGCGGUAAUUUAAUCUUUUCAGAGGAACCUGUUUUUUGAUCGAUAAUCCACGAAAUAUCUUGCUUAUUUUAAUAGAGUUUGUAUACCGUCAUUAUCAGGUAAUUUUUAAAAAAUUAAUUACUAAAAAAAAUAAUUUAGAUAAAUUAGAUCAUGGUGCAGCUUAUAAAAAAGUUAAAAUGGGUUACAAUAAAUUAUUAUUAUACGGAUAAAUAAAAUAAUAUUUUUUUAGAAGGAGGAUUUGAUUGUAUUUUAAAUUUAAUAUGUUUAAAAGAUAAUAGCUCUAAAUUAUGUACAUAUCGCCCGUCGCUUUCAUUUAUAGAUGAAAUAAGUCGUAACAUAGUAAGUGUACUGGAAAGUGCCC